RNAcentral lists this long non-coding RNA (7283 nucleotides) under Brachypodium distachyon (stiff brome). Its description in RNAcentral is "long non-coding RNA (BDIS_LNC004164)". The record is from RNAcentral. Lineage: Eukaryota; Viridiplantae; Streptophyta; Magnoliopsida; Poales; Poaceae.
AAACAACCUCGAAGGUUUUAUGCCAAUUACUAUUGCCAACCUAUCAGAAGAGCUCCACUUGAUUACACUAGGUAUGAACAAAAUAGCUGGGACCAUACCUGACGGCUUAGGCAAGUUUCAAAAGCUGACGAAGUUCUUCCUGUCAGAUAGCCUCUUCACAGGCACCUUGCCUCUGGAUAUUGGCCAGAUUCCUAGCCUCCAGUAUCUUGACCUAUCCCAUAGUCAAUUUUAUGGUCAGAUUCCACAGUCAUUAGGUAAUAUCACACAGUUAAGCAGCCUCUCUCUAUCUAAUAACUUUCUGGAAGGCACAAUCCAGCAAGCCUUGGUAAUCUCACAAAUCUUGGAUCUCUGGAUCUUUCUGGUAACUCCUUGAGUGGGGAAAUCCCACAGGAAAUACUUCGUAUUCCCUCUCUGACCCUACUUCUCAACCUCUCUAACAACGCUCUAACUGGCUCCAUUCCAACACAGAUUGGGCACUUGAACAGCCUCGUCGGAAUUGACAUAUCAAUGAACAGGCUAUCUGGUGAAAUCCCAGAUGCCCUCGGCAGUUGCGUCCUACUGAAUUCCCUAUACUUGCGAGCAAACCUAUUGCAAGGGAUAAUCCCGAAAGCUUUCUCUUCUUUGAGAGGCCUUGGAAAGUUGGAUCUUUCUAGCAACAACUUAGUAGGACCCGUACCAGAGUUCCUUGAGAGCUUCGAGCUUCUAACAUAUCUCAACCUCUCCUUCAAUAACCUAUCUGGCCCUGUGCCGAAUACAGGUAUCUUUCGCAGUGCCACUAUAUUGUCGCUCACAGGCAAUGACAUGCUGUGUGGAGGUCCUCCAUUCUUGCAACUCUCUUCAUGCCCAUCUAUAGGUUCACACCAGGCUUCGCAGUAUCAGCGUCGUGUCAUACUCUUUUGUAUGGUUGGAACCUUGAUGUUGUUCAUGUGCUCCCUGACUGCAUGCUACUUUAUGAAGACAAGAACCAAAACAAAUACUGUUCAUCAAGAAACCGGAUUUCACAAUGAGAAGCAUGAGAGGAUAUCCUAUGCUGAGAUAGAUGCAGCAACGAAUUCAUUCUCACCGGCAAAUUUGAUUGGCUCUGGAACUUUUGGCAACGUGUACAUUGGAACUCUAAGUCUUGAUGAUAGUUUAUGUACUGUAGCAGUCAAAGUUCUCAAUCUUGGCAAACAGGGAGCUAAUAGAAGUUUCUUGAGGGAGUGUGAAGCCCUAAGGAAGAUCCGACACCGGAAACUUGUCAAGGUGAUCACUGUGUGUAGCAGUUUGGACCAUAAUGGUGAUGAGUUCAAGGCACUUGUCUUAAAAUUUAUCUGCAAUGGAAAUUUAGACGAGUGGCUGCACCCAAACACAAUGACUAAUGGUAUGACCAUUAGAAGGCUAAGUUUGAUGGAAAGGCUAUGCAUUGCACUUGAUGUUGCUGAGGCAUUAGAAUACCUUCACCAUCAAAUUGAGCCAUCCAUAGUUCACUGUGACAUCAAACCAUGCAACAUCCUUCUAGAUGAUGACAUUGGUGCGCAUGUUACUGACUUUGGUCUAGCAAAGAUAAUGUGUACUGAUGCAUCCAAGCAAAGUGGUACUGGAGCCGCAAGCAGUUCAUUUGUGAUUAAAGGCACGAUUGGAUACGUCGCACCAGGUCAGCAAUAUUGCUUGAAUUUGAGUUGAACUAUAUAUUAAUUGCUAAUGCUUCUCGAUAAUUUUUCCAUCUUAAAUUUUUUAUUUUUCCUGCUAAUAUUAUUUCUUCGAUAAAUAUACAAUCUGGUUAGUGUGUAUUAUUUUGCCAAAUUCAAUUAAAGAGUGACAUCACCGAUUCUAUGUCUACUCAUGUAUGUAGCCAACAUUAACUUUCAUUUGUAUGUCUAUCAGAGUACGGCUCGGGAUCUGAAACCUCCACAGCUGGUGACAUAUAUAGCUACGGGGUGUUACUAUUGGAAAUGUUUACUGGAAAAAGGCCAACUGACAGUUUCAUCAAUGGCGCCACCAGUCUUGUAGACUAUGUCAAAAUGGCCUAUCCUGAUAAGCUACUGGAAAUACUGGAUGCUACUGCAACCUACAGCGGAAGCACACAACAUAUCAUGGAUAUAUUCUUAUAUCCUAUGUUUAAGCUCGGGCUAGCUUGCUGCGAGGAUUCCCCGAGUCGCAGAAUGAAGAUGAACGGCGUAGUCAACGAAUUGAACUCCAUAAAGAAGGCAUGGGCCGCUCGUCCACCGGUUCAUGAGUUUCGAGCAUCCGCCUAAUCGGGCAAAGAAUGAAAGGUUAUGAUCAUCUCUAUGCUCCGCUGUUGUCACCAUGUGCCAUUUUGUGAUUGCAGAGGCCUGCUUGUGGUGAUUAUGAAGUCGCUGUUUACUUUAAUUUUCUGUCGUUUUAUGUUUCGUUGCCAUCUUGUUUUUAGAGUGUGCAAGAGAAUCUGUGUGUGAUUGUAUGAAAGUACAAGUAGUUUACUUACAGUCUUCAUAGAAAAUAAGUUUGGCCGCCAUUUUUCAUCCCAUAAAUGCUGUAUCUCAUUGCUCCUACUCGUAGCAGAUUUACAGCCACCCCUGCUGUUGCUACCCAGUGGCAAUGUGCCAAUGUGGUUAUGACAGACAGUUUGUGGCGAUAACAUCUCACUUCCCAUUUUACACUCAAUAUGUUCAAUCUUAGCACAUGUAACAGAAAUUUGUGUCCUUGUGUUAAAAAGCAGAGGUCGAUUACUUGCAAGCCUCAGAGAAAAUAAGCCCGGCAACCCUUUUUUGAGAGGAACGUUGUAGCAUUCCAUUAAACAGAGUUGCUGGAGAACUCGCCAGCACAAAUGUCAAUUACAAACUGAGGUAAAUGGUCAACCCAUACGUCAUGGUUGCCAUUCCCUAACGAAGCGUCUUGCGCACCUAAAACAUGAGCUACUGAAUUACAUGAUCGUGGAUAUACAGAGACAUUAUGCACAUCAUAUGCAACAUGUAAUAAGGCUUUAGUUUCUCUAAAAAUGGUCCCCAACGGAGAAAGAUCAUAAUGAUCAGAGAGGUGAUAGCUUGCUUCAGAAUUGAUGCAUCAGUUUCCAGCUCCACCUUGCAAUUAGAGGAAAAGAAGAUGUCAGAGUUUGGAAAAAUGGAACGCCUCGAAAUCUUUGUCCGUCAAAUCUCUUUAUCAAUCAGAGAACUCUGGAGGUCUUAGUAAUAUCGCUGCUGCUGAUUUAUGGAACUGCUCGGCACCGAAUAAACAGAAAGUUUUCUCUUGGCUUUGGCUCAGAGGAAGAAUUAAAGUGAGGACGGUACUUAAAAAACAACAGAUUCUUGCUACCGAUGAAUGCCCCUUCGGCUGCAAAACUAGUGAAUCGCCCACGCAUCUGGCCCUGGAUUGCUCACGUUCUCGUCUUGUCUUUCAAAUGUUGGGUAUUGAUGUUGUGGGGAUGGAACAGAUUGAUGACCUUCUUAUUCACGGAAAAACUCUUGUUGCUCAGAACAAGGUAGCUGCUUGGGAAGUGGUUUUUGUCGCUAUUCUUUGGAAUAUCUGCUCGCAAGAAACCGCAAGUCUUUGAUGAUCAAAUGAUCUCAGUGCCGAUGGUUUUGAGACAAUGUUCAGAAAUCUUGAAGCUUCGGUGCCAUCGCUUAAAAUCUAAAGAAAAGCUGGCUGCUCACGGAUGGUUGGAAGAUUGGCCUGACUAGCUUUGUUUCUGCUUCUCUUCUUCUUUUGCACUUUGCAUGUUCUUUGCUCCCCUCCCUAUAAUCUCUUUGACCAUUGCCCGGUCACUGUAAAUUGUGAUGUCUGGAACUAUUUUGGUUCCCCUUUUAUAAAAAUUUAGGUAGGGGCCUCCCAUCCCGACCUUGCUCAGAAAGCUCGCGGGCCCAGGAGGCAGGCGGCGAUCACCGAGGCUUUCUUCAACGAGCUUACCAAGGCGCAGCGCCCCCUACCGAAGUGGGACCGCCACACCGGCACGGCGUGGACGGCGUUCUUCGACGAGCGCCAUGCAUAGCAGUUGGCCCGCUACGAGGGCCCGUACACCGCUGCCGGGCCGCCACAACACCGCCGGCCGGCGACUCUGAUGGGGGGAGCCGGGCCGGACCUUGGACAGGGUGCUGGCUCACCUCGCCGCCGGGAACCAACCGCGGCUAGAGUACGCGCCGGCGGGACGUCACCGCUUCCUCCUCGACAACGCAUCCGGUGGCUCCUCCCCCGCCUCGGCUUCUUCCUCCUCGACGGCGGCACGAACGCCACCGUCUCUGGCCUCGUCAAAGACAAGCCCGGCUCCUCCCAUGAACGUUGGGCACCGUUGCUGCCAGGUGGCCACCUCCGACUCGGGCCAAAGCACCCCCAAACGGCCUAAAAAUGGGCCGCGUCCGUUCUUGCGGAAAAAAAAGAAACAAAAAAAACUCCCAUUCGCUCUGACCAAACAAAUGAUCCCGUUCCGUCUCCCUAGUUCCUUCUAACCAAACGAGAAACACACCAAAAUUCCUGUGUCCUUUACUCCUCUCGGCGUUCGGAGCUCGCCGGCGGAGCCUCGCUGUGUCGACCACCGCGAGGAGCUCCGCUAGGCGGGGGAGAAAGGUGCGUACAGUGAACCCCCAGAACUUCUGGAAUAUCUCCAUCUUGCCGCCUCUUCUUCGCGCGUGUACGUUCUUUGGAAUUGGAUGCACGUAAGGUGUUCGACCCUUGUCCUGGUCCUGUACGCGCGGUGGUUGUUUGCUAAUUGCCGCAUGCCAGCAAGGGUUGCUGACGCUGUAGAUCCAAGGGUCUCUGGCGCGAUUGAUUCCUAGAAAGCAAGUGCGAACUUAACUGAUCUUGCCGACAGUGCUCUCUGAGACAAACUAUGCAACUGCGACUGGAUGCUGUUAAAAGAAACUGACAAACGUCUUUCCUGCUCCUUCUGGGAAAUAGAUACUCAGUCUCUGGACAGGGCUACAUCCAAUUCUGAUAUCAACUCCUUUCAUGAUCAUCAUGAAUUUAUGAUCCUUAUCAUUUCAUUUGUCGACGUAACUUUUCUGAUUGGCGGGGUAUUUUUAGUCUUCGGUGACUUUUCUUGUUGAGCUGUUUGUCAUUUGUUUUUCCACAUGAACCUGUUUUUCUCUACGUCUGAUUUAUUGCCCUUUCCUGUAACAUCAUUGGAUAUUUGAACAUUUGAAGUAUUAUGUCACAUCUUCAACUACAUGGCACAGGAUAUCACACUAGUUGUUGUCACACCCCUUUUUUUUAUUACUUUUGAUAGAGAUAUUUGUCAUUACAAAAUGUAAAAGUUUGUUUUGUUUUGCAUGUCCUCACUUACAAAAGAGAAUUUAUACAUAUUACAAUAUGCCUUUGCUUGUCUCCUAAAAAUCACUAGGUCCAUAUUCAAUAUGAAAGCAUGACAAGCUUUUUUAAAGGAUAUAAAUCUGGAUAUAAAUUAAAGUUUAUAUCGGGUGGACAAGUGCUUUACAGCAAAGCUCAAACAGAUAAUUGAUUCCAUUUUUCAUGCUGUUAACAGCUAGGCAUGCCCUGUGAUGGAGAAAAUAUAGCAUCAGCACACGAUGUAGCAACAACCAUAUGUUCGAUAUUAGGCGACUUUCUUAUUGAACUGGUUACUUCAUAUAUGAACGUAAAAUUCCAUAUGAUCCUGUUUUUCUCUAACAUAUAAUUCCAUUGCGCUGUAACAAUCAUUGGAAUAUUUCAACAUUUGAAAUCAUGUUCUAUCUUUAAUUGCAUGUCACACAAGACAAAACAUGGUCAUUGUCACACGUUUUCUUCUGAUAGUCAUAUUAGUCAUCACAAAAUUAAUAACAAAGGACAAUCUCCAUCUUAUUUAAGACUUGGAAGGGAAAGAAUAGAAUAAUCGCCUCCACCUCCUUGCUCAACCAUGAAAAUCCAGAGGACACGGCAGCUCUUGAUCCUCCAUCUUCUCACUCUUAUCCUCCUUUUCCUCACAUCCAGCUCUCAACCUACCAACAAUGGAACUGCCAACAGUGGUGAUCUCUCGGUCCUCCUGUCAUUCAAAUCCUUCACCAGGGACCCUACGCACGCACUUUCCUCUUGGUCUUGGGACCAUGCUGGCAACAGUACCAGCACUAAGGUGCCUGGUUUCUGCAAAUGGAGGGGUGUGGCCUGCAGUGACCGCCGGCACCCCGGCCGUGUGACUGCCAUACGCCUGCAGGGCUUUGGCCUGGCCGGCACAAUCUUCCCGCAGCUCGGCAACCUGACCCAUCUUCGUGUCCUCAAUCUUUCAAUGAACAACCUGGAAGGUGACAUCCCAGGCAGCCUCAGUGGCUGUGCAGCACUUCGUGGCUUGGACCUGGGGGUGAACUAUCUCUCUGGUUCCAUGCCUUCUUCCAUGGGUCUCCUAUCAAAGCUCAUAUUUCUCAACGUCACUCAUAACAAUCUGACUGGUGAUAUUCCGAUGUCAUUCUCCAACCUAACAGCCCUCACAAAGCUUAGCUUGCAGAGCAACAAUUUUCAUGGCCAAAUUUCUAGAUGGUUGGGCAACCUGACAUCAUUGACACACUUAGACUUAACCAACAAUGGUUUCAGUGGCCACAUCUCUCCGGCUCUAGGUAAGAUGGCUAAUCUUAUUCGAUUUGAAAUCGAGGAUAACAAACUGGAAGGCCCUUUUCCUCCAUCCAUGUUCAAUAUUUCUUCCAUCACAGUCUUCAGCAUCGGCUUCAACCAGCUGUCAGGAUCUCUGCCGCUUGAUGUUGGCUUUAGGCUUCCCAAGCUAAUUGUUUUUGCCGCACAGGUGAACCAAUUUGAAGGAUCAAUACCAGCUUCCUUUUCAAAUGUAUCUGCACUUAAAUAUUUGCUUCUCCGCUCAAAUAGUUAUCAUGGUCCCAUUCCACGGGAUAUUGGCAUCCAAGGUCGUUUGAGGUCAUUUUCAGUAGGACACAAUGUACUUCAAACCACAGAGUCUAGGGAUUGGGAUUUUCUUACAUCAUUAACUAAUUGUAGCAACUUGGGAAUACUAGACUUUGAACAAAACAACCUCGAAGGUGUUAUGCCAGUUACUAUUUCCAACCUAUCAGCAGAGCUCCACUGGAUUACACUAGGUAGGAACAAAAUAGCUGGGACCAUACCUGACGGCUUAGGCAAGUUUCAAAAGCUGACGAAGCUCAUCCUGUCGGAUAGCCUCUUCACAGGCACCUUGCCUCUGGAUAUUGGCCAGAUUCCUAGCCUCCAGUAUCUUGACCUAUCCCAUAGUCAAUUUGAUGGUCAGAUUCCACAGUCGUUAGGUAACAUCACACAGUUGAGCAACCUCUCUCUAUCUAAUAACUUUCUGGAAGGCACAAUUCCAGCAAGCCUUGGUAAUCUGACAAAUCUUGGAUCUCUGGAUCUUUCUGGUAACUCCUUGAGUG